This 478-nucleotide ribosomal RNA is filed under the name uncultured bacterium. RNAcentral's name for it is "partial 16S ribosomal RNA". It matches the Rfam family "Bacterial small subunit ribosomal RNA", at positions 28 to 507 of the family's 1533-position model. The record is from RNAcentral.
GAUGAACGCUAGCGGCAGGCCUAACACAUGCAAGUCGAGGGAGAAGCCCUUUCGGGGGCAGAAACCGGCGCACGGGUGCGUAACGCGUAUGCAACCUACCUUUCACAGGGGGAUAGCCCGAAGAAAUUUGGAUUAAUACCCCAUAAUAUUAUUGGAUGGCAUCAUUUGAUAAUUAAAACUGCGGUGGUGAAAGAUGGGCAUGCGUCCUAUUAGCUAGUUGGAGUGGUAACGGCACCCCAAGGCUACGAUAGGUAGGGGUCCUGAGAGGGAGAUCCCCCACAAUGGUACUGAGACAGGGACCAGAAUCCUACGGGAGGCAGCAGUGAGGAAUAUUGGGCAAUGGUCGGAAGACUGAACCAGCCAUGCCGCGUGCAGGAAGAAUGCCUUAUGAGUUGUAAACUGCUUUUAUAGGGGAAGAAUAAGGGUUACGUGUACGUUGAUGACGGUACCAUAUGAAUAAGCAUCGGCUAACUCCGUG